This is a long non-coding RNA of Oncorhynchus tshawytscha (Chinook salmon), 3002 nucleotides long. The record is from Ensembl. Lineage: Eukaryota; Metazoa; Chordata; Actinopteri; Salmoniformes; Salmonidae.
CAAAAUUUGAGAGAAAUAAACUUUUUGUGAAUAUGGAACAUUUCUGUUUUAUUUCAGCUCAUGAAACAUGGGACCAACACUUUACAUGGUGUAUUUAUAUUUUUGUUCAAUAUCAAACAAACAUGCCUCUCUGACAUGUAAAAUACUGAAAUCACAGCAGCUCUAUUCAUAGAAUUUUUAUCUAGAAUGUUCCAAAACCUUUUCCUACUGAACAUGGCCCUGGUUUUAAAAAUGGCAGUUAUUGGCAACACCAUGGCAACAACACAACCACAACCAACUCUGAUUGGCCAGUCAAAAGACACAACCAACUCUGAUUGGCCAGUCAAAAGACACAACCAACUCUGAUUGGCCAGUCAAAAGACACAACAAACUCUGAUUGGCCAGUCAAAAGACACAACAAACUCUGAUUGGCCAGUUAAGCCAGACAGAGGUACUGUAUGUAGUAAAAAAACAACUUUAAAAAGCAGGAAUAAUAAACAAUAAUAAAACAAUGCAAUACUGUGAGAUCAUGGCACAGAUAUAGACAGACUGACCGGCAGAUAUAUGACCAUAGAAAUAGACACAGGCAGGGUAUAGAUAAUACUGGUGUGGUACUUUAAAAAUACCGCAGCGUUGUUGGAGCAACACUACGUAGUUGUGUGUUCGUAUCCAUGGUUACCAUAGGUAGAGCCCAGCCUCGUUCCAGACACAGCGGAGAUAACGUCAGAGCAGGUCCACUGACUACAUCUCCCAGAGGGCUUUUUCCAAAAUAAAAGUCCCCGUGAUAUCUGCACCGGUUGUUCACGAGUAUUGAGUGAACCUCGUGUCAUGUAAGCUACAACAGUACUGUGUGUCUCUGCGUGAUGGUGGACAAGGUUCAGUUUCAAACUGUCACUUCUAGAGAUAUGGGUUUAACAGAUCCCAAGGUCCUGUUUCAAACUGUCACUUCUAGAGAUAUGGGUUUAACAGAUCCCAAGGUCCUGUUUCAAACUGUCACUUCUAGAGAUAUGGGUUUAACAGAUCCCAAGGUCCUGUUUCAAACUGUCACUUCUAGAGAUAUGGGUUUAACAGAUCCCAAGGUUCCGUUGUUUCCAUAUUGGUCAGUGCGUGACCUGAACUCUUAUUGUGAAACACUUUGUUCCAGAUGCAUUUCCUGGGCUCCAUGUAACAGUUCCAUGACACAGAAUAGCCCACCAGGUAACCAACCAGCCAAGUCCAUAUCUCAGAAAGGUAUAGCCACACCUUUUACUCCAUACUGUAGUUACAGCUCCAUAAUCCAUACAGGGCAGAGGACCAUAAACCAUAGCCAGUCUAUUCCCCAUGUAGGUACGAGGUGAGCCAUGUAAUCCCAUCCCAGGUAGGUCCAUCCCAGAUCAGUUUAUCCAGGUAGGUCCAUCCCAGGUAGCCAUAGACAGGUAGGUCCAUCUCGGGUAGCCAUAGACAGGUAUGUCCAUCUCGGGUAGGUCCAUCCCAGGUAGCCAUAGACAGGUAUGUCCAUCCCAGGUAGCCAUAGAUAGGUAGGUCCAUCCCAGGUAGCCACAGACAGGUAGGUCCAUCCCAGGUAGCCAUAGACAGGUAUGUCCAUCUCGGGUAGGUCCAUCCCAGGUAUGUCCAUCCCAGGUAGCCAUAGACAGGUAUGUCCAUCCCAGGUAGCCAUAGACAGGUAGGUCCAUCCCAGGUAGCCACAGACAGGUAGGUCCAUCCCAGGUAGCCAUAGACAGGUAUGUCCAUCCCAGGUAGCCAUAGACAGGUAUGUCCAUACAUGCAGCCAUAGACAGGUAGGUCCAUCCCAGGUAGCCAUAGACAGGUAUGUCCAUACAUGCAGCCAUAGUCCAAGUAAAUCUUAGCCUGCAGGUAUGUCUCCGUCCUCUGUCCCAGGUUAGAUUUGUCCCAGGGCCAGGCUAAACCAGACUUAACCCCGGUACAGUCAUGGUUCUGGCACCAGUGUGGCCCCAGUUAGGCCCUGUGGUCUCAGGACUGGUUGUCCCCAGUAGGGGUUGGUGGUUCGAGUGACAGUUCUUCGUCAGACAGCCCCGUUUCCACAGCGAUCACCAGGGAUGCCACAGACGCACUGCUGGUCAUGGGCUGGAACUCACCUAGAGAGAGAGAGACAGGGGGAGGAGGAGACAAAAGAAGGAUGAGAGAGACCGAGAGAGGGAGAGAGAAAGAGGGAUGAGAGAGAGAAAGAAGAGGGGGGAGGGAGAGAAAGAAAGAGGGAGAGGUGAGGAUGCAAUUCAUUAAAGCUGCCACCAGGUGGCACUAUGAGUGCUGUUUGUGUGUGUGCGUAUGUGUGCGUGUGUGUGCGUGGUGUGACUGUGGGCUGCGUGGUGUGACUGUGCGUGUCGCUAGCCUCGCCCGCCGCCCGGCGCUAGCCUCGCCCGCCGCCCGGCGCUAGCCUCGCCCGCCGCCCGGCGCUAGCCUCGCCCGCCGCUAGUCUCGCCCGCCGCUAGUCUCGCCCGCCGCCUGUCGCUAGUCUCGCCCGCCGCCUGUCGCUAGUCUCGCCCGCCGCCUGUCGCUAGUCUCGCCCGCCGCCUGUCGCUAGUCUCGCCCGCCGCCUGUCGCUAGUCUCGCCCGCCGCCUGUCGCUAGUCUCGCCCGCCGCCUGUCGCUAGUCUCGCCCGCCGCCUGUCGCUAGUCUCGCCCGCCGCCUGUCGCUAGUCUCGCCCGCCGCCUGUCGCUAGUCUGUCGGUAGCUGCGUGUCGGUAGCUGCGUGUCGGUAGCUGCGUGUCGGUAGCUGCGUGUCGGUAGCUGCGUGUCGGUAGCUCGCCUGCGUGUCACUAGUUGCGUGUCACUAGUUGCGUGUCGGUAUUCUCGCCUGCGUGUCACUAGUUGCGUGUCGGUAGCUGCGUGUCGGUAGUCUCGCCUGCGUGUCACUAGUUGCGUGUCGGUAGUUGCGUGUCGGUAGCUGCGUGUCACUAGUUGCGUGUCGGUAGCUGCGUGUCGGUAGCUGCGUUUGCGUGUCACUAGUUGCGUGUCGGUAGUCUCGCCUGCGUGUCACUAGUUGCGUGUCACUAGUUGCGUGUC